UGGGGAAUAUUGCACAAUGGGCGCAAGCCUGAUGCAGCGACGCCGCGUGGGGGAUGACGGCCUUCGGGUUGUAAACUCCUUUCGCUAGGGACGAAGCUUUUUGUGACGGUACCUAGAUAAGAAGCACCGGCUAACUACGUGCCAGCAGCCGCGGUAAUACGUAGGGUGCGAGCGUUGUCCGGAAUUACUGGGCGUAAAGGGCUCGUAGGUGGUUUGUCGCGUCGUCUGUGAAAUUCCGGGGCUUAACUCCGGGCGUGCAGGCGAUACGGGCAUAACUUGAGUACUGUAGGGGUAACUGGAAUUCCUGGUGUAGCGGUGAAAUGCGCAGAUAUCAGUAGGAACACCGAUGGCGAAGGCAGGUUACUGGGCAGUUACUGACGCUGAGGAGCGAAAGCAGGGGUAGCGAACAGG
Molecule: ribosomal RNA, 411 nt
Filed under: Actinomycetes bacterium
Lineage: Bacteria; Bacillati; Actinomycetota; Actinomycetes
Description: Actinobacteria bacterium partial 16S ribosomal RNA
Rfam family: Bacterial small subunit ribosomal RNA
Source: RNAcentral